CGGGACGGGUGAGUAAUGUCUGGGAAACUGCCUGAUAGAGGGGGAUAACUACUGGAAACGGUAGCUAAUACCGCAUAACGUCGCAAGACCAAAGAGGGGGACCUUCGGGCCUCUUGCCAUCGGAUGUGCCCAGAUGGGAUUAGCUAGUAGGUGGGGUAACGGCUCACCUAGGCGACGAUCCCUAGCUGGUCUGAGAGGAUGACCAGCCACACUGGAACUGAGACACGGUCCAG
RNAcentral lists this ribosomal RNA (233 nucleotides) under uncultured bacterium. RNAcentral's name for it is "partial 16S ribosomal RNA". It matches the Rfam family "Bacterial small subunit ribosomal RNA", at positions 100 to 334 of the family's 1533-position model. The record is from RNAcentral.